This 249-nucleotide unclassified non-coding RNA is filed under the name Hevea brasiliensis (rubber tree). Lineage: Eukaryota; Viridiplantae; Streptophyta; Magnoliopsida; Malpighiales; Euphorbiaceae. The record is from RNAcentral.
AGCGAGUGUUCAGAUUGAUUAAUUCUUUUUUUUUUCCCCCUUUUUUUUUCAAUAUCCAUUGUAAUUGGUUGUUUGACUUACCACUUAAGUCCAAUAAGUUGAAUAACACUGGGCAAUUUCCAAUACUCCUAACCAUGGUAAUUGCAGACCAAACCUUCUGGUACUCCUCCCGUGAGGUUCUGAUAAUACACAGCUUUGUGAUGGGAUUCACAUACUUUACUUGUAAUGAUCCAAGUGAUGAAGCCAAAC